GCAGCUUCGCUCGAACAAUAACCACAGCAAUUUCAAACCCAAACCUCAAACAACCAACCUCAAUCCAUAUUAAAACUAGAUCAAUCAGAAAAUCUUUUCAGGAACUGAAAACUUGAGAAAUCAAAGAAUGAGUUUCAAGGAAACAAUAGUUUUUCUCCAAUUUUCAGCCAUUUUCUAUUUUUCUGAAUUUUAUCUAUUUUCAGG
This 204-nucleotide long non-coding RNA is filed under the name Nicotiana benthamiana. RNAcentral describes it as "long non-coding RNA (NBEN_LNC040115)". Lineage: Eukaryota; Viridiplantae; Streptophyta; Magnoliopsida; Solanales; Solanaceae. The record is from RNAcentral.